CAGAGAAACGAAACCGAAGCCGGGGCGGGGCGGAGCCGACACCGACCAGCUGGGAUUUCCCGGGCCUGGCGCGUCCCGUCGGGCCGAGCGUGUGGCCCCCGCUGGGCCCUCUGACCCCGAUGGGUGACCCUGGGGGUCUUGCCUGGGGCAGCAGGAAGGUCUGGCUCCCCGUGGCCAUCGCGGAACUCGCCAUCAUCCUCAUCCUGGUGGCCGGGCUGGGCCACUUUGUGGCCAAGGAGCAGUGGCUGCACAGCGACAUGCUGGGGCUGCGGGAGGAGAUGGCCAGUGCCAACUGGACACUGCAGAAGAAGCAGGAGGGUUGGGACUUGUGCCGGAACCACACGCACGUCCUGCAGAAGAAUGUCAUUAACCUGACCCAGGAGGUCACUCAGUUAAAUAGCGACAUUGCCCAGCAAGAAGUGGAAAAGGGCAGGUUACGAGAUGAAAUUAGCGCCUGGAAAAAAACAGCCCAGCAUCUCCAGGAGCAAAAGGAUCAGUACCACAGGGAGGUCAGCUGGCUGCAGCAGCAGCUCGAAAGACACCAGGAACUUCGCUCCAGUGUGGGCAGUGCCAGGCUGUCCAGCCUCCUGCCUCUGCUGGCAGCCCCCUUUGCUGCGCUGCUUGUCUGAACGGCGCCAGGCAGGGAGCAGUCAGCACCCAGGACUGAGUCCCCCAGCUGGGAAAGCAGGAAUCUCCCAGGGAAUAAGCAGCACUGGAUCCUGUGGCUGGCACACACUCUUCUCCGUGUGCUCUGUACUGAGUGAUCAGUGAGACUCCAAGCUGGCUCUUCCCUGGGCGUGCAUGUGGAGGAAGCCUCGUCUCCUGCCAGAGAGGGGAGCUGUGACAGAUGAGGGGGACGCAGUGACGGGUCCAUGGAUGGAGAUGACCCUAUGCUACAGUUUAGACAUGUCACCCAAAGCCCCAGAUGACUGUUGCAGCAAGUUGGGCCUGUGACAUCCUGCUUGGGUAGGAAACACCAGUGGACUGCCGACAUUUUUUCAGAGGUGGCCACUGAUUUGGGGUGACCGGUUUUGGGGUGCCCCGGCCGCCAUGUGAGUCACACCCAGUCUAGGACCCAGCAACAGCAUCAUCUGGUCUCACGCUUUUGUGGGGGGAUUAAAGUGACUAAUAAACCAGCCCUCGGCAGGGAGAACGUUUGCA
This 1161-nucleotide long non-coding RNA is filed under the name Chelonoidis abingdonii (Abingdon island giant tortoise). Its description in RNAcentral is "lncRNA (ENSCABG00000004227.1)". The record is from RNAcentral. Lineage: Eukaryota; Metazoa; Chordata; Testudines; Testudinidae.